RNAcentral lists this long non-coding RNA (1598 nucleotides) under Ananas comosus (pineapple). RNAcentral's name for it is "long non-coding RNA (ACOM_LNC028509)". The record is from RNAcentral. Lineage: Eukaryota; Viridiplantae; Streptophyta; Magnoliopsida; Poales; Bromeliaceae.
AGUAUAACUUACUGUUCCAAGUGCAUGUGGCAGAAGACUUGACGAUUGUUGUACACCGUUAAAUUAGCAAGUAUCUCGCAUUAGCUGUUAAAAGUGAUCAAUUAUGUAAUCUUUUGAUCGUACAGUAAAUAAUGUCAAAAUUUUAUAAAAUUUGAUUUCUAUAAGUUUUAAAUACUAUAAAUAAUAUUUAACGGUAUGGAUCGUCGAUUCAGAAGCUCUAUAAUCGAAAACGACUUGUAAGCAUUAGGACGGCCGUACUCAUAAGAGUAUAGUAGCCAAUAGGCAAACGGGCUCCGUUAAACUAGCCCUACUCUAUACAUAUAAAUUGAGUUGAGCUGAAAUGCUAUCAGUAGCAAACGGGCUUCAUCGUCACCCAUUUGGUUUCAAUGAUGGACCCUCCAAAUUGACGAUUGGCACCGUUAAACAUGAUCUACACCAAUUGAAGUAUUUAGAAACCAAAUUUCAAAUCAUUCCGAUAUUAUUGACCUAAUGAUCAAAGGGUUUCAAAAUUUAUAAUUUUAAUGGUCGAUAUGAGACGUUUUCUCGUUAAUGGUGUAAAGAUAUCCAAAUUAAUUGAAUUCUGGUUAAAAAAACUCUUUAAACUAUUUAGAAUAAUAUCUAUACUCUCGAUCUUGAUUACAAGAUUUCUAUCAUCACUUUUAAAGAAUAUUCAUUCUUAGCCGUUCAUUUUUGUGUCUACUUGAUGGACAAGAGAACAAUAUCGAAAAAUAUGAAAUUUGAUUUCUAGAUGCUUCAAGUGAUAUAGAUCAUGUUCAAUGGUGUCGAUUGUCGAUUUGGUGGCUCCACUAUCGAAAACCAAUGGGUGGCAACGGAGUCCGUUUGUUACCGAUAACAUUCCAGCUCAACUCUAUAUAAAUUUUAUAUAUAUAUAUAUAUAUAUAUAUAUAUAUAUAGCAGGGCGACUAUACUCUUAUUAGUAUAGAGGCCUUCGUACUCCGAAUCAACGAUCCACUCCAUUAAAUAUGAUGUAGAGUAUUUGAAACUUUUAGAAAAUAAAUUUGGAAAUUUUUUAAAAUUAUAAUAAAGUCUAUUAGACGGGCAUAACAUGAACGGUCAAAAUCGAACGACGACCUAAAAAUAGAUGAUCGAUGAACGGUCAAAAUCGAACACAAAUUUUUUUUAGAUACUUUAAAUAUUGUAGAUUAAAUUUAACAAAAUCAAUCAUCAAUUCGAAAAUUCCAAUAUCGAAAAUGACUAGAGGGCUUGUGCGCUUACCUCUAUAAAGACAAGAAUAAGAAAUAUAGAAAAAUCUCCUGCAAAGGAAAAUGAUGCUAAACUAAGUUAUAAGGUAUGGGACUUGAUAUGGUCGAAACAAUAGCUACUAUUAUUAGAACACAUAAAUUGUAUCUAAUCGUGUUUUGAACCUUUUAGCUCCAUCAAUAUCUGUUUUAUAUUGUAAAUUAAUACUAAUAGUGUGAGAUCCCAGAUAGUCCUAUAUAUAAAAUACAAUAUGGCUAAAAUUUUUAACCCUAUUUAAGUAUUUUGGGUGGUGGCUACACACAAAAAAUUAAGAGAGUUAAGUGUGCAAUUAGGACGAGAGUAAUUCUAAAAUGGGUGACCCCCCGCAAAGUUGAGGC